RNAcentral lists this long non-coding RNA (394 nucleotides) under Bos taurus (domestic cattle). Its description in RNAcentral is "long non-coding RNA NONBTAT018936". Lineage: Eukaryota; Metazoa; Chordata; Mammalia; Artiodactyla; Bovidae. The record is from RNAcentral.
GAAAGAAAGAAAUUUUGCUUUCCCUGAGCACUUAUCUUAGUGACAGGAUCUAGAAUGUGCCACAACACAGAUUAAAAUUUGGGGGAGAACCUCCCGUUACUAACAAUGAAGACAGAAAGGAAAGGGGGCAUAUCUUUGGCUUUUCCUUGGUUACGCUGCAGUUUCAGGAUUGGAUGAGGCAGACAAAUGAAACCUCCUCCAGUGUCGCUGUUCUAACCUGAGCCCUUAACUGAUAUCAGCCAGCUGGACAUUCCUUCCCCAGAUGGCCAGAUUGAAAUCUUGCUAAGAGUUUUACUGAGAAAUAAGGCCAGACCAACUACUGUGAGGCAUGCCUGAUGGCUUUGUGCCUUAAACAGUUAGAUGCUCAAGAUGGGGUGCCAGGAAUGCCUUCUUU